Non-coding RNA from Corylus avellana, 1885 nucleotides. The record is from RefSeq and is a predicted model, not a curated record. Lineage: Eukaryota; Viridiplantae; Streptophyta; Magnoliopsida; Fagales; Betulaceae.
GAAGUCAGGCUCGACUCGAGCUCGAGCCUGACUCAAAAAUAAACGAGCUGAGCCUGGAUAGCCCAAGCUCGGUUCGAUUACACCAAUAAUAUAAAUCAUCCACUUCAUUUUUAGGGUUAGGGUUUUACGUUGCGGCACAGCUUCAACCUCCUCUUCUUCUCCAGGCUCUCAGACCCUUGUCUUCUUCGAAGAACUUCUCUCAGUCAUCAUGGGUAAGACACGUGGUAUGGGAGCUGGUUGCAAGCUGAAGUCCCACCCUAGGAGGCAAAGGUGGGCUGACAAGUCUUACAAAAAGUCCCAUCUUGGAAAUGAAUGGAAGAAGCCAUUUGCUGGGUCUUCCCAUGCAAAGGUGGGCCACCCCCUUUGGCUCCUCGGAGAUGGGGAUGGCUGCUCUAUCCCUUGUUGAAAAGUUGAAAACUGAAUACUGCCAAAGAUUUCUCUCAACUUCUGCAAAGGUGUGGGUCAGGGGGCUUUGAAGGAAAGAUCAUUUACUUUUUUCCCUGUUGCGAAUAUGCAGACGCCAAAAGCAUGAGCUGGCUCUUUGGACUAGCUGUAGAGGAAAUCUCCUGCAACACCUCGGACUGCUCACCAACUCAAGACGGCAGUUGGAGAUUCUGAUUCAGUUUCCUCGUCUCCACAUCCAGCCAGUAGGACGCCAAAAGGAAGUCCUAAAGUUAUGGAAUGCAGGUCAGCACGAAGCCCAAUGUCUGAGACACGUGGUAUGGGAGCUGGUCGCAAGCUGAAGUCCCACCAUAGGAGGCAAAGGUGGGCUAACAAGUCUUACAAGAAGUCCCAUCUUGGAAAUGAAUGGAAGAAGCCAUUUGCUGGGUCUUCCCAUGCAAAGGGCAUUGUCCUUGAGAAGAUAGGCAUUGAGGCCAAGCAGUUUAACUAUGCUAUCAGGAAAUGUGCUAGAGUUCAACUAAUCAAAAAUGGGAAGAAGAUUGCUGCAUUUGUCCCUAAUGAUGUUUGCUUGAACUACAUAGAAGAAAAUGACGAGGUCUUGAUCGCUGGAUUUGGACGAAGGGUCAUGCCGUCGGUGAUAUUCCUGGUGUCUCCCUCCUGGCUCUCUUCAAGGAGAAAAACGAGAAGCCUAGAGCUGGCUCUUUGGACUAGCCGCAGAGGAAAUCUCCUGCAACACCUCGGACUGCUCGCCAACUGAAGACGCCAGUUGCAGAUUCUGAUUCAGUUUCCUCAUCUCCAGAUCCAGCCAGUAGGACGCCAAAAGGAAGUCCUAAAGUUAUGGAAUGCAGGUCAGCACGAAGCCCAAUGUCUGAGCUCCAGAAGAAGCUCCCAAGCAGAGUGUCUGAAUUGGAGUCGCAGCUUGCUCAAGUCCAAGCGGAUCUGAAAAAGGCAAAGGACCAAGUGAACUCAUCUGAGUCAUGGAAUGAUGGAAGAGGAGAGCCCACCAGGAGGCUGAAGAGGUCAAGAAGGAUCUCUUAGCCAUGUCAGCAAAUCUCGAGGAAUCCCAGCAGCAGCUGCUGGAGAUUUCUGCUUCUGAAGAAGCUCGGCUUCAAGAGCUCGGCAAGAUCUCCCAGGAUCGUGAUCGAGCAUGGCAAUCUGAACUUGAAGCUGCCCAGAGGCAGCACUCAAUGGAUUCUGCCGCCUUGGCUUCUGCUAUGAAUGAAAUUCAUAAGGUCAAAGUUCAGCUGGAGAUGGUGGCUGAAUCAAAAGCUACCCAAGCUAAGAACGCUGAGCUGGCACAUGCUGAGAUUGGGGGCUUGAGAAUGGAACUUUCAGGAACUCAAUCCCUUGUUUGCUCAUACUUCCUAUUAAUAUGUGAAGUAGAAUACAAAAUAUUUAAUUGAAAUAAAAAGUGAAUGACGAAGACAAUGUAUAAAUUCAAGAUUUUUUUUAAUGGGUAAUGAUACAUAUUAUUUAUUUUUUA